GAAAUGCGAUAAGUAAUGUGAAUUGCAGAAUUCAGUGAAUCAUCGAAUCUUUGAACGCACAUUGCGCCCGCCAGCACUCUGGCGGGCAUGCCUGUUCGAGCGUCAUUUCAACCCUCAGAACCCCUUGCGGGAUCUGGCGUUGGGGAUUGGCAUCCAGUCAGCCCCGAAAUCUAGUGGCGGUCCCUCCGCGACCUCCCCUGUGCAGUAGCGAUACCUCGCAGCGGGACAGCGGUCUGACCACGCCGUAGAACCCCCAACUUCUCAAGGUUGACCUCGAAUCAGGUAGGAAUACCCGCUGAACUUAAGC
This 307-nucleotide unclassified non-coding RNA is filed under the name plant metagenome. RNAcentral's name for it is "partial contains 5.8S ribosomal RNA, internal transcribed spacer 2, and large subunit ribosomal RNA". The stretch from base 1 to 105 matches the Rfam family "5.8S ribosomal RNA", at positions 50 to 154 of the family's 154-position model. The record is from RNAcentral.